RNAcentral lists this ribosomal RNA (1069 nucleotides) under Salmonella enterica. RNAcentral's name for it is "partial 16S ribosomal RNA". It matches the Rfam family "Bacterial small subunit ribosomal RNA", at positions 1 to 1061 of the family's 1533-position model. RNAcentral also lists the same sequence under 1 other name. Lineage: Bacteria; Pseudomonadati; Pseudomonadota; Gammaproteobacteria; Enterobacterales; Enterobacteriaceae. The record is from RNAcentral.
AAAUUGAAGAGUUUGAUCAUGGCUCAGAUUGAACGCUGGCGGCAGGCCUAACACAUGCAAGUCGAACGGUAGCACAGAGAGCUUGCUCUCGGGUGACGAGUGGCGGACGGGUGAGUAAUGUCUGGGAAACUGCCCGAUGGAGGGGGAUAACUACUGGAAACGGUAGCUAAUACCGCAUAACGUCGCAAGACCAAAGUGGGGGACCUUCGGGCCUCACACCAUCGGAUGUGCCCAGAUGGGAUUAGCUAGUAGGUGGGGUAACGGCUCACCUAGGCGACGAUCCCUAGCUGGUCUGAGAGGAUGACCAGCCACACUGGAACUGAGACACGGUCCAGACUCCUACGGGAGGCAGCAGUGGGGAAUAUUGCACAAUGGGCGCAAGCCUGAUGCAGCCAUGCCGCGUGUAUGAAGAAGGCCUUCGGGUUGUAAAGUACUUUCAGCGAGGAGGAAGGCGUUGUGGUUAAUAACCACAGCGAUUGACGUUACUCGCAGAAGAAGCACCGGCUAACUCCGUGCCAGCAGCCGCGGUAAUACGGAGGGUGCAAGCGUUAAUCGGAAUUACUGGGCGUAAAGCGCACGCAGGCGGUUUGUUAAGUCAGAUGUGAAAUCCCCGGGCUCAACCUGGGAACUGCAUUUGAAACUGGCAAGCUUGAGUCUCGUAGAGGGGGGUAGAAUUCCAGGUGUAGCGGUGAAAUGCGUAGAGAUCUGGAGGAAUACCGGUGGCGAAGGCGGCCCCCUGGACAAAGACUGACGCUCAGGUGCGAAAGCGUGGGGAGCAAACAGGAUUAGAUACCCUGGUAGUCCACGCCGUAAACGAUGUCUACUUGGAGGUUGUGCCCUUGAGGCGUGGCUUCCGGAGCUAACGCGUUAAGUAGACCGCCUGGGGAGUACGGCCGCAAGGUUAAAACUCAAAUGAAUUGACGGGGGCCCGCACAAGCGGUGGAGCAUGUGGUUUAAUUCGAUGCAACGCGAAGAACCUUACCUGGUCUUGACAUCCACGGAAGUUUUCAGAGAUGAGAAUGUGCCUUCGGGAACCGUGAGACAGGUGCUGCAUGGCUGUCGUCAGCUC